UACGUAGGCAGCAAGCGUUGUUCGGAAUUACUGGGCGUAAAGGGUGCGUAGGUGGUUGGUUAAGUUUGGUGUGAAAUCUCCCGGCUCAACUGGGAGGGUGCGCCGAAAACUGGCCGGCUAGAGUGUGGGAGAGGUAAGUGGAAUUCCUGGUGUAGCGGUGAAAUGCGUAGAUAUCAGGAGGAACACCUGCGGUGUAGACGGCUUACUGGACCAUGACUGACACUGAAGCACGAAAGCGUGGGGAGCAAACAGG
RNAcentral lists this ribosomal RNA (253 nucleotides) under uncultured bacterium. RNAcentral's name for it is "partial 16S ribosomal RNA". It matches the Rfam family "Bacterial small subunit ribosomal RNA", at positions 524 to 776 of the family's 1533-position model. The record is from RNAcentral.